RNAcentral lists this ribosomal RNA (454 nucleotides) under uncultured bacterium. RNAcentral's name for it is "partial 16S ribosomal RNA". It matches the Rfam family "Bacterial small subunit ribosomal RNA", at positions 28 to 507 of the family's 1533-position model. The record is from RNAcentral.
GAUGAACGCUGACAGAAUGCUUAACACAUGCAAGUCAACUUGAACUUCGGUUUGGGUGGCGGACGGGUGAGUAACGCGUAAAGAACUUGCCUCACAGCUAGGGACAACAUUUGGAAACGAAUGCUAAUACCUGAUAUUAUGAUUUUAGGGCAUCCUAGAAUUAUGAAAGCUAUAUGCGCUGUGAGAGAGCUUUGCGUCCCAUUAGCUAGUUGGAGAGGUAACGGCUCACCAAGGCGAUGAUGGGUAGCCGGCCUGAGAGGGUGAACGGCCACAAGGGGACUGAGACACGGCCCUUACUCCUACGGGAGGCAACAGUGGGGAAUAUUGGACAAUGGACCAAGAGUCUGAUCCAGCAAUUCUGUGUGCACGAUGAAGUUUUUCGGAAUGUAAAGUGCUUUCAGUUGGGAAGAAAAAAAUGACGGUACCAACAGAAGAAGUGACGGCUAAAUACGUG